AACGGUCACCUAGCCAACUGACGUUUUUAGUGGAUUAUCUAUCCACAAAGUACAGCCAAUAGAUUUAUGUCUCUAUUGGCUGCUUUUU
RNAcentral lists this small RNA (88 nucleotides) under uncultured Vibrio sp. Its description in RNAcentral is "Qrr RNA". It matches the Rfam family "Qrr RNA", at positions 17 to 107 of the family's 108-position model. Rfam says of the family: This family represents a set of small RNAs (the Qrr RNAs) that are thought to be involved in the regulation of quorum sensing in Vibrio species. It is believed that these RNAs, guided by a protein, Hfq, can mediate the destabilisation of the quorum-sensing master regulators LuxR/HapR mRNAs. Lineage: Bacteria; Pseudomonadati; Pseudomonadota; Gammaproteobacteria; Vibrionales; Vibrionaceae. The record is from RNAcentral.